GGGGGAUGGGGAGGGCCAGGGGCUGUGGGGACUCGGAGCAGGGGGCCCCCGUCACCCGCCGCCUCUCUCCCCCCAGGCCCGCCCCCCUGCCGCCGCCCGCCGGUGCCCAGCGGGAGGCCUGAGCCCCGGGCCGGGACCACUGCAGCGCUGGAGCCGCGGGGAAGGCCUCGCCGCCCGCUUGUCCCCCCCGCCGACGCCAAUAAAGGGGCUGUGAGCUGUCUCCGCGCUGCCUCCGCCCCACCGGGGACCGGGGGGAGGGGGAUCGGCACCAGCCGCACCGCAGAACUACAACUCCCGGCAGCCCGCGCGGCGCUCGCCGGAAGCGCGGCCUCUCCCCCGCAGGAAGCUGCUUCCUGCCCACGGCGCCCCCUGGCGGGGACGGUGCGCGCAGCCUCCCGGGGGGCGGGGGGGGCUCCCUCGGAGCCACGUGGGCACGUGCAGGGGCUGCCCGUGUGCGCGGGCACGUGUGUGUGCGCCCCGUGGGCACGGACACACACACACACACACACACCCCGUUACCUCCCACCCCAACGGGUCCCGUCCCGGGGGACCGGUCCCGGUGUCCGGUGGGUGCCGGUACCCGGCGGGGGAGGUGGGCGCGGGGAGCAGCCGGUGCUGCCGGUCCCGAUGCCCGAUGUACUGGGGCGAUGCCGGUCCCGGUGUGACACCGGUGCUGGUUUGAGGAAGGGGCGAGUGGGCGCCGGUGCCGACCGGGUGCCGGAGGUGCCGAAUCGGUGCGGGAGUGACGGUCCCGGGGCCGCCCCCGUGCCGGUGGGUGCCGGGUCGGUCUCGGUGCUGAUGGGUGCUGUGCCGGUCCCCGUCUAUGCCCGAAGGACUGGGAUGGCGCCGGUACCGGUGCGAGAGGGGGCGGCUGGGUCCCUGUCCCGGUGCCGACGGGUGUCGGAGGCGCCGGUCCCGGUGCGGUCCCGGUGCUGGUGGGUACCGCGCUCCUCACAGGCGAUGCCCGAGGGACCAGGGCGGUGCCGGUCCCGGUGCGAGGGGGGCGGGUAG
RNAcentral lists this long non-coding RNA (1011 nucleotides) under Calidris pugnax (ruff). RNAcentral describes it as "lncRNA (ENSCPUG00000017955.1)". The record is from RNAcentral. Lineage: Eukaryota; Metazoa; Chordata; Aves; Charadriiformes; Scolopacidae.